AUGAUUAUUUUUCUUUGUAAGAACUUUUUUUUGAGACAAUUUCUUUUUAAGAACUUUUUUUCGGUCCUUUGUAGAGUUCAAAUGAAAAAAAUAAAGUUCAGUGGUCUUGGCCCAAAUAUUCAGAGCUCGGCCCAAUUCCAGUGCCCAGCUCAUCUUACAACACGAAGAGAUUCUCAAAAAAAAAAGAGAUUCUCAACAAAAAAUCUUAUACAACACGAAGAGAAACAAAGAAGCAAAUCUGCGCACGCGGCGGCCCUGAGCGACGGGUCGGCACCAGCCGCCACCGGCGCGCUUCCGCCCGCGUCCGAUGGCCGGAGACCAAGCACGCCCACAGGUGUUCGACGCAGGCCCGACCGGCGCAUGCCGUGA
Molecule: ribosomal RNA, 369 nt
Filed under: Triticum aestivum (bread wheat)
Lineage: Eukaryota; Viridiplantae; Streptophyta; Magnoliopsida; Poales; Poaceae
Description: partial small subunit ribosomal RNA
Source: RNAcentral